GGGGUUGUACUGGUUUCGACGGGGGUUUUGAAAUUAGAGUAGCCAUUCGUGGUCUGGAUCCACGUUAAAAGUCAGAACUUAAAUAUAAACGCUAACGAUAAUUUAGCAUACGCUGCCUAAUUGCGGCAGCUGUCGACCCUAAGUCACUCGCUGCUUAGGAGUUCGGCAUCGACUUUGCGAGGCACUUCGUUUCCAAAGCUUUGAGGGAAUGGAAGAAUUAUGAAGCUACUAAGCAAUAAAGCCUGUUGUUCGGCGGUAUUGUAAGGGAAUGUCAAACGAGCAACUGUAAUGGAAGAAGCUUUAAUGGACGGGCUUUCGGACAGGGGUUCGAUUCCCCUCAGCUCCAUUG
This is a non-coding RNA of Clostridiales bacterium CHKCI001, 349 nucleotides long. It matches the Rfam family "transfer-messenger RNA". From Rfam's summary of the family: Bacterial tmRNA, also known as 10Sa RNA or SsrA, is named for its dual tRNA and mRNA-like properties. Its role is to liberate the mRNA from a stalled ribosome. To accomplish this part of the tmRNA is used as a reading frame that ends in a translation stop signal. The record is from Rfam. Lineage: Bacteria; Bacillati; Bacillota; Clostridia; Eubacteriales.